AUUGAACGCUGGCGGCAUGCUUUACACAUGCAAGUCGAACGGUAACAGGCCUUCGGGUGCUGACGAGUGGCGAACGGGUGAGUAAUGCAUCGGAACGUGCCCAGAGGUGGGGGAUAACGCAGCGAAAGCUGUGCUAAUACCGCAUGUGAUCUGAGGAUGAAAGCGGGGGACCAGGCAGCAAUGUUUGGCCUCGCGCCUUUGGAGCGGCCGAUGUCAGAUUAGGUAGUUGGUGGGGUAAAGGCCUACCAAGCCGACGAUCUGUAGCUGGUCUGAGAGGACGACCAGCCACACUGGGACUGAGACACGGCCCAGACUCCUACGGGAGGCAGCAGUGGGGAAUUUUGGACAAUGGGCGCAAGCCUGAUCCAGCAAUGCCGCGUGCGGGAAGAAGGCCUUCGGGUUGUAAACCGCUUUUGUACGGAACGAAAAGGCUCUGGCUAAUACCUGGGGCUGAUGACGGUACCGUAAGAAUAAGCACCGGCUAACUACG
This 490-nucleotide ribosomal RNA is filed under the name uncultured bacterium. RNAcentral's name for it is "partial 16S ribosomal RNA". It matches the Rfam family "Bacterial small subunit ribosomal RNA", at positions 30 to 505 of the family's 1533-position model. The record is from RNAcentral.